GAUGAACGCUGGCGGCGUGCCUAAUACAUGCAAGUCGAGCGAACAGACGAGGAGCUUGCUCCUCUGACGUUAGCGGCGGACGGGUGAGUAACACGUGGAUAACCUACCUAUAAGACUGGGAUAACUUCGGGAAACCGGAGCUAAUACCGGAUAAUAUAUUGAACCGCAUGGUUCAAUAGUGAAAGACGGUUUUGCUGUCACUUAUAGAUGGAUCCGCGCCGCAUUAGCUAGUUGGUAAGGUAACGGCUUACCAAGGCAACGAUGCGUAGCCGACCUGAGAGGGUGAUCGGCCACACUGGAACUGAGACACGGUCCAGACUCCUACGGGAGGCAGCAGUAGGGAAUCUUCCGCAAUGGGCGAAAUCCUGACGGAGCAACGCCGCGUGAGUGAUGAAGGUCUUCGGAUCUUAAAACUCUGUUAUUAGGGAAGAACAAAUGUGUAAGUAACUAUGCACGUCUUGACGGUACCUAAUCAGAAAGCCACGGCUAACUACGUG
RNAcentral lists this ribosomal RNA (497 nucleotides) under uncultured bacterium. RNAcentral's name for it is "partial 16S ribosomal RNA". It matches the Rfam family "Bacterial small subunit ribosomal RNA", at positions 28 to 507 of the family's 1533-position model. The record is from RNAcentral.